Molecule: ribosomal RNA, 1002 nt
Filed under: Triticum aestivum (bread wheat)
Lineage: Eukaryota; Viridiplantae; Streptophyta; Magnoliopsida; Poales; Poaceae
Description: partial small subunit ribosomal RNA
Source: RNAcentral
AUGUACCAUGACCUCAAGCAGUCGUAUUGGUGGACUCGAAUGAAGCAUGAGAUUGCUCAGUUCGUGAAUGAAUGUGAUGUCUGCAGAAGAGUGAAGGCAGAACACCAAAGACCACCUGGUCUCCUCCAACCUCUUGCCAUUCCAGAAUGGAAGUUUGACCACAUUGAGAUGGACUUCGUGACUGGAUUUCAAAAGUCCAAGCGUGGCAAUGAUGCUAUAUUCGUUAUCAUCGACAAACUCACUAAAGUGGCUCACUUUCUGCCUAUCAAAGAAUCCAUCACAGCAGCUCAAUUGGCAGAGCUAUAUACCUCUCGGAUUUUCUCUCUCCAUGGCAUUCCGCAGUUGAUAUCUUCAGAUCGUGGCAGCAUCUUCACCUCCAAGUUUUGGGAUUCUUUUCAGAAGGCCAUGGGCACCAACAUCCGUUUCAGCACAGCUUUUCAUCCCCAAACUAGCGGCCAAGUCGAGCGUGUCAAUCAGAUUCUUGAAGAUAUGCUCAGGGCUUGCGUCAUCUCUUUCAGUAUGAACUGGGAAGAUUGUCUUCCAUAUGCCGAGUUCUCCUACAACAAUAGCUUUCAAGUGAGUUCGACCAAGGCCCCAUUUGAAAUUCUCUAUGGCAGGAAGUGUCGUACUCCUCUUAACUGGCCAGAGACUGGUGAACGUCAACUUCUUGGCAAUGACUUAAUCACAGAGGCAGAAGAGAUGUGCAAAGUCCUUCGUGAUAACCUCAAAGCAGUGCAAUCGCGCCAGAAGAGCUACUAUGAUAGUAAGCAUCGUGAUUUGGCUUUCGAGAUCGGAGACCAUGUUUACCUUCGCGUCUCUCUUAGGAAAGGUACUCGUCACUUCGGUGUCAAAGGGAAGCUUUCCCCUAGAUACGUGGGUCCUUUCAAGAUCAUCAGCAAGAGAGGCGAUCUCGCCUAUCAACUUGAGCUUCCCUUCAAUUUUGCAAACAUGCACGACGUGUUUCAUGUCUCUCAAAUCCGCAAGUGCUUCAAGACCCCUGAC